AGUGAACGCUGGCGGCAGGCCUAAUACAUGCAAGUCGAGCGAAAAGAUAGUAAGCGUUCGCCUCUAACGGUGGCGACGGGCGGGCGGGUGAGGCGUACAUCGCCUACCUAUUAUUCGUGGGGGACUACGUAAGACAAGAUCCACUAAUACAGCAUAUGUUGUACCGGAGGAAUCAAUAGAUAUUGACAGCUUUCGUGUUUCUAUUAGACGAUGUCGGAUUAGCUAGUUGGCUUGGUAAAGGCCCACCAAGGCGACGAUGCGUAGCUGGUCUGAGAGGAUGAUCAGCCACACUGGAACUGAGACACGGUCCAGACUCCUACGGGAGGCAGCAGUGGGGAAUAUUGGACAAUGGGCGCAAGCCUGAUCCAGCCAUACCGCGUGGGUGAAGAAGGCCUUCGGGUUGUAAAGCCCUUUUGUUGGGAAAGAAAAGCAGCAGGAUAAUACCCCGCUGUUCUGACGGUACCCAAAGAAUAAGCACCGGCUAACUUCGUG
RNAcentral lists this ribosomal RNA (492 nucleotides) under uncultured bacterium. RNAcentral's name for it is "partial 16S ribosomal RNA". It matches the Rfam family "Bacterial small subunit ribosomal RNA", at positions 29 to 507 of the family's 1533-position model. The record is from RNAcentral.